Molecule: ribosomal RNA, 480 nt
Filed under: uncultured bacterium
Lineage: Bacteria
Description: bacterial SSU rRNA
Rfam family: Bacterial small subunit ribosomal RNA
Source: RNAcentral
AUGAACGCUAGCGGCAGGCUUAACACAUGCAAGCCGAGGGGCAGCACGGUAGCAAUACUGGUGGCGACCGGCGCACGGGUGAGUAACGCGUAUGCAAUCUACCUUUAACUGGGGAAUAGCUCAGAGAAAUCUGAAUUAAUACCCCAUAAAAUUUCGGAGAGGCAUCUCUCUGUUCUUAAAGCUACGGCGGUUAAAGAUGAGCAUGCGUACCAUUAGCUAGUUGGUAAGGUAACGGCUUACCAAGGCUACGAUGGUUAGGGGGUCUGAGAGGAUGAUCCCCCACACUGGUACUGAGACACGGACCAGACUCCUACGGGAGGCAGCAGUGAGGAAUAUUGGUCAAUGGGUGCAAGCCUGAACCAGCCAUGCCGCGUGAAGGAUUAAGGUUCUAUGAAUUGUAAACUUCUUUUGUCAGGGAAAAAACCCCCGCUCGUGAGCGGGGUUGAUGGUACCUGAAGAAUAAGGAUCGGCUAACUCCGU